AGAGUUUGAUCAUGGCUCAGAAUCAACGCUGGCGGCGUGCCUAACACAUGCAAGUCGAACGAGAAAGUGGAGCAAUCCAUGAGUAAAGUGGCGCACGGGUGAGUAACACGUGACUAACCUACCCUUGAGUGGGGAAUAACCUGGAGAAAUCUAGGCUAAUACCGCAUAACACCUACGGGUCAAAGGAGCAAUUCGCUUAAGGAGGGGGUCGCGGCAGAUUAGCUAGUUGGCGGGGUAAUGGCCCACCAAGGCGGUGAUCUGUAUCCGGCCUGAGAGGGCGCACGGACACACUGGAACUGAAACACGGUCCAGACCCCUACGGGAGGCAGCAGUGGGGAAUUUUGCGCAAUGGGGGAAACCCUGACGCAGCAACGCCGCGUGGAGGAUGAAGUCCCUUGGGACGUAAACUCCUUUCGAUCGGGACGAUUAUGACGGUACCGAGAGAAGAAGCCCCGGCUAACUUCGUGCCAGCAGCCGCGGUAAUACGAGGGGGGCGAGCGUUGUUCGGAAUUAUUGGGCGUAAAGGGUGCGUAGGCGGUUCGGUAAGUCUUAUGUGAAAUCUUCGGGCUCAACUCGAAGUCUGCAUGAGAAACUGCCGGGCUUGAGUGUGGGAGAGGUGAGUGGAAUUUCCGGUGUAGCGGUGAAAUGCGUAGAUAUCGGAAGGAACACCUGUGGCGAAAGCGGCUCACUGGACCAUAACUGACGCUGAUGCACGAAAGCUAGGGGAGCAAACAGGAUUAGAUACCCCCGUAGUCC
This 756-nucleotide ribosomal RNA is filed under the name uncultured bacterium. RNAcentral describes it as "bacterial SSU rRNA". It matches the Rfam family "Bacterial small subunit ribosomal RNA", at positions 8 to 796 of the family's 1533-position model. The record is from RNAcentral.